UGGGAGCUAGCCCACUUACCUAGCCGAACCUGAUUUUUUAUCGAGUGCGUCGGCGGUGAGCGGAUGCAUGUCCGGCGGCGAGAGGUGAGCGGGCUCGUGGCCAAGCGAGCUGCUGACCGUGUCCUUGAUAGCGUCGUUAUCGGCGGGUGAACAGCAGGCUCGUGGUCGGCCGUCCGAAGCGGCGGCGUGGUGUGAUUGGCUUCUACAGAACCGACUCUGAUUGGAGUGGAAGGGGACGAACGGCCUCAUCCUCAAAUUCGGUGCGUGCUGUCGGAUCCCCUUUGCAAGCCAAGACUGAACACAAAAUUGCAUAGAUGUGGCGAUCUGUUCCGCUAGGUCCAGCUCCAUGUUGUGUGUGUCUAUGAUUCCUCAGGUCCAGCUCCAUUUUUCCUGUUCUGGAAUGCACCAGGAAUUUAUGAUUCCGUUUGGACAAAGCGAAAGCGCGCAGCCGUGGGAUGGGUCGGGACG
Long non-coding RNA from Lolium rigidum, 468 nucleotides. RefSeq lists it as uncharacterized. The transcript is spliced from 4 exons. Lineage: Eukaryota; Viridiplantae; Streptophyta; Magnoliopsida; Poales; Poaceae. The record is from RefSeq and is a predicted model, not a curated record.